Molecule: long non-coding RNA, 266 nt
Organism: Clarias gariepinus (North African catfish)
Lineage: Eukaryota; Metazoa; Chordata; Actinopteri; Siluriformes; Clariidae
Exons: 5
Source: RefSeq, a predicted model, not a curated record
GGCAUCAAGACACAUAAACCUGGACAGGCUGGUGGUGUGGGGAACAUUGGAGGAGCCAGAAAGGGAUGCUGUCUGGGAUGACAUGUACGAUGAAGAAUUCGAAGAAUUCCUAAUUUAUCUCUGGGACCAGUGUUUUUUCUGGGAUCAACUGGCACAAAGCAACGACCGACAAGGAGAUACCAGUAAUUGCGACUGACGAGUCAACGCUCCUGCCUCCACCUUUUAAUAAUAAAAAAAAAAAUAAAAAAACCUUCAUGAUUAUGGAA